CAAUAGCGUAUAUUAAAGCUGUUGCGGUUAAAAAGCUCGUAGUUGGAUUUCGGGUGGGACGCAGCGGUCUCGCAUUGCGUUUGUACUGCUGCAGCCCUCCUUCUUGCCGGGGGCGGCCUCUCGGACUUCACUGUCUGGGGGUCAGAAUCGGCGAUGUUACUUUGAGUAAAUUAGAGUGUUCAAAGCAAGCUUACGCUCUGAAUAUAAUAGCAUGGGAUAACACGACAGGACUCUGGCCUAUCGUGUUGGUCUAUAGGACCAGAGUAAUGAUUAAGAGGGACAGUCGGGGGCAUUCGUAUUCCGUUGUCAGAGGUGAAAUUCUUGGAUUUACGGAAGACGAACAUCUGCGAAAGCAUUUGCCAAGGAUGUUUUCAUUGA
This 378-nucleotide ribosomal RNA is filed under the name uncultured eukaryote. Its description in RNAcentral is "partial 18S ribosomal RNA". It matches the Rfam family "Eukaryotic small subunit ribosomal RNA", at positions 592 to 976 of the family's 1831-position model. The record is from RNAcentral.